Molecule: long non-coding RNA, 3057 nt
Organism: Papaver somniferum (opium poppy)
Lineage: Eukaryota; Viridiplantae; Streptophyta; Magnoliopsida; Ranunculales; Papaveraceae
Exons: 11
Source: RefSeq, a predicted model, not a curated record
UUAAUUAGUUAAGGCCUUAUACUUACUCUAUCAGUUUUGAAUCGACUGAAUUAUAUCCGUAAUAUGAUGGAUAUUCAACAAUUUUCUUAUUUUCUUAUCGUCUCGUCGAGUUCUCCUCUUAUUUAUUCUUCAAUUCUAAAGCUAGACCGAGAUAUAUAAAAUCAAACCAAGUUUUCUGAAAUCAAAACCGGUCUCUCCUAAACCCUAAUUUAAAGAAUCGAAACUCAUAAACUAAACUCAAUCUUUCAGUAUGUCAAAUUUGAUAAACCCUAGAAAUUGUUUCUUCUGUACUCUUAAAAUGAUUCUGUAAGAUGUGCUUGGUUUUAACCUGAAGUUUGUUUCCCUAAUGGUGAAAUAGUCAUAGAUCCGUCACCUUAGUCAGAUUCUGUUUAUUUUCUUCUUUUUAUCUUUUAAAGCCCUAGAUUUACAAUUCUUUUUCCUAAUUGUUUCAUAAUCAAGAGAUGGAGAUAAUUCGAGUUCCUAGCUUUCAAUCUUUGUUUUAGACUCUCAUGUUGAGGUUAUCGAUUGCAGAUCCUAUUCAGAUUGGGUUUUCGGUUAACUUCCUUAAGUAAGAAAUUGGUGAAAUUUCAGUCAAGAAAAUCAACACAUAAAAGAUUUGAAUGUUGAGACAUAUCUUGUAAAAUUCCAAGCAAAGACAGUAUUUCGAGCAAAAGAAACGGCAACAACAUUCCAAUGGAGAUGACGAUGCUGAAGGAACUGAUGGGUCUGCUGCAUACCAUCGGACACCUAAAUUGUUAGAUAUCUUAAGUUUGUUGAACUUGGUGGGAGAGGCCAAGGGGGGUAAUUCUGGCUGGAAAAAUGCGGAUGGUCCGGCGUCAGAGUUUCGUCGCUGAAUUAUCAAGUCCCCAAGGACAUGCACUAUGGGCAGCUAGAAGAGAUUGGAUUUAUGGACUGUAUGAGUAUCGAUGAGGUGGCACUUGGAAAUGUGAUGUCUGUUCGAUUCCUUUAUGUUGCAAGGACUAGAACACGAAAUGGAGUUCUGCUUUGCAUCUUUGGAAUUUACUCCCCAACCUGAUUUGUUUAGAUGUUUCGAGAACUGAUGCUACUUUCGCUGUUGUCGUGAAACUGAUGUCAACAACACCAAGUUUGAAGGUGGUUUGUGCCCUAAACUGUCCAAAUCUUGAGGAAUAAAGCAACCAUACUGUGUACAAAGUUAAGGGGAAGUUGUUGCUGGACUUUUUUAGUGAUAUUUUCAAGGGAGUUGCUUCUUUAUUCGCCGAUACUACUAUGAAAGAUAUGGAUGUAUUUUCAGAAUGGAGUAGUUCAAAGAGUGGGAAUAAGAACUUGAAUGAUAUCAUGACAUGGAUUGAAUGGAUUCUAUCACAUACAAGGUGUUGCAUUGUUGCUCAGUUUGAUGCGGAAACCAGUUCACAGGGGUUGGAUACUUUGUGGCUAAAACAAGGUGCUGCAUUGUUGCUCAGUUUGAUGUGGAGUUCGCAAGUUGAUAUACACGAACAAGCGUCUACAGGACUUGCAACAUUAGUUGUCAUUGAUGAAGAAAAUGUCAUUGUUGACUGUGGAAGGGCAGAAGCAGUCAUGCAGGAUGGUGGAAUACGCCUUCUGUUGGACCUAGCAAAAUCUUGCCGUUAAGGCCUUCAGUCUGAAGCAGCCAAAGUUAUUGCAAACUUGUCGGUCAAUGCAAAAGUUGCGGAGGCUAUAGCUGAAGGAGGAGGAAUAAAUAUCCUUGCUGAUUUGGCAAGGUCCAUGAAUAGAUUGGUCGCAGAAGAAGCUGCUGGUGGACUUUGGAACCUCUCCGUGGGAGAAGAGCACAAGGUGGAAUAAAAUCUUUAGUGGAUCUUAUUUUCAAGUGCCUUCGGUGGUGAUGAAGUCCUUGAACGGGCUGCAGGUGCACUUGCAAAUUUGGAGACUGAUGAUAAAUGUAGCAUGGAGGUUGCGGUGGCAGGUGGCAUACAUGCUUUAGUGAUGCUUGCCCGGACGUGCAAGUUUGAUGGAGUCCAAGAGCAGUUACCUUGCAUAAGGUAGCGGAAAUCCCAGUCCUGAGAUUUUCACCCGUGAAUUACCAGCUUCUGAAGGACAAAAUAGAGACUAAAUCACCAGCCAAAGAAGAGAAAUGUGCAUCCCCCCGAAAGAAAUUCUCCAGUGAUCCUCAUAACACAGAAACUUUCCAUAAGUACUUCUCCAACAAAAAUGGUGAUAAGUCGGAUUGCUGGAAGAACGCAACUGAAACUCGUAAGAUCUCACGUCUUAUACUGUUAUGUAUUGAUUUGUUAACCGGUGCUAUUAAGAAUUUUGCAAAAUGAGGUUUUCCCCCUCGAAUCCCUUAUGCAAUUUCAGCCCUUCUGCAAGUCUUGGUCUAAGAUACUUGUUCUUUUUUUUCUUUGAUUGUGGCCUUCUGGGGUUAUUUUGUUGUUCAGUUUUGAUUUUUGUUUCUUGUUUCUUUUUUUUUUCCAUGUUAAUCCUGUGGUUUACUUCCUCGGAGUUCUCAUUACUCGAUUUACUUGGUGAGGAUGGGUCAAAUGGAAAAGCAGAAGGAAGUCCAGUGCGAGAGUUUCAUGUUGCCUUUUCAGUCGAAGGUGCAGCGAUUUCAUCCACUAAAGAUUCAUGAGAGCUAUACCUGCAUGUAUGUGACUACAAUACUUAGAUAUCCAUGAAGUUAAAGUAAAUAAGAGUUAUACCUGCAUGUAGACUCCUAACAUAUGUCCUAUUGUGUUGGAAGUUGGCCACCAUGCCAACGAUGAGUUAAUGGGUACCAAUGAUCAUGUACUUUUUAGUUUACUUCUGUACCUUAUCUCAGAUAAAAUACCGAACAAGUUCAGAAAAUUGGUAUGUUAAAUCAGUCAUAAUUCAGCUCUGCCACUCCGAGAUUAUCUUAAAGUCCUACAAGGUAUUAGUCGUCUCCUUCAAUGGUACAAGUUCAAUAAAGCAUUUACUAUGUCUAUUUAUGAUCUAUUGUAGAGAGUACAAGUUAUGCGUAUGUAAUCCAUGUUGGAAUUAAGAGAGAAUAUUGUAAGAAUAUUAUUGGUUAACCAUAUGUUCAUAUGAAAAAUUGGGUCUUCUAGAUGAUCUACAAUGGUA